AAACUAGUGAUGUGGACAGUCCCGAUAAAGAUCUUUGAACCUCUCCCAAGCAUGAUACAUGAUCUCAUCUGGCCUCUAAUUAAAUCUCAAAAUCUCAUUGUGAAGUAU
This 108-nucleotide small nucleolar RNA is filed under the name Capsicum annuum. RNAcentral describes it as "Plant small nucleolar RNA R71". It matches the Rfam family "Plant small nucleolar RNA R71". Rfam says of the family: R71 is a member of the C/D box family of snoRNAs containing the C (UGAUGA) and D (CUGA) box motifs. Multiple nearly identical copies of this snoRNA have been identified in Arabidopsis, and it is thought to function as a 2'-O-ribose methylation guide for 18S ribosomal RNA. The record is from Rfam by way of RNAcentral. Lineage: Eukaryota; Viridiplantae; Streptophyta; Magnoliopsida; Solanales; Solanaceae.